AUGCUCUAAUGAUGGAUUAAUUAGGAUCAUUAGAUUCGUCUCGUGGUUUACAGACGAGUUCUGUAAUUAGUUUUGUGAUUAAUCUAUAUUUAAUGCUUCAAAUGUGCAAAGAUUCUAUUUUUACAAUUUUACACGGGCAACUAAACGAGGCCAAGUAGAUAACUGAAAAGUCAAAGUAAGAUGGGCAUGCUUAAGUUUUACUCAUAAAUGAUAAUGGCAAAGAUGUAGGGAAAACAAACUCAUUGAGGCCUAGUUUGGAAGCCCGAAUCCCCGCAGGGAUCCUCGUCGAUUCCCGGGGUCGGCAGCCCACGCAGAAUUUUUCCACGCGAAGCCCAUCAUGCGCUUUUGGAAGCCUUGUGUGUGGGGUUUUUUUGGCCCGGGUAAGCCCAAUUUCCCCGUGGAAGCUGGCCCGGCCUCUAGACAACGGGCGGCGCCCCCCCUCCCUCGUCUCACUCGCGAGUCAUGCGACUCCGCGAGGAGAACGCCGCCGCCGCCUGGAUCUCCUCCUCCGACCUGCUUCUCCCUCCGAUGUUCCUGCAGCCAACUCCUCCUUCGCAUCAGAUCCUGCAAAAAAUCGCGGUCGGGGGAGCCCUACGGCGGCUGUGAGGGACCCGACGUUGAGCUCCGAGGCCACUUCGUCGGCAAGGAAGAAUGCUGCUAUAUUCGACAAGUAACAAGGAUGAAUGAUGAAUCAGAAAUCUCAACUCC
Molecule: long non-coding RNA, 708 nt
Organism: Panicum virgatum (switchgrass)
Lineage: Eukaryota; Viridiplantae; Streptophyta; Magnoliopsida; Poales; Poaceae
Exons: 3
Source: RefSeq, a predicted model, not a curated record